Molecule: ribosomal RNA, 465 nt
Filed under: uncultured bacterium
Lineage: Bacteria
Description: partial 16S ribosomal RNA
Rfam family: Bacterial small subunit ribosomal RNA
Source: RNAcentral
CUACGGGUCGCACCAGUGGGGAAUAUUGGACAAUGGGGGAAACCCUGAUCCAGCAAUGCCGCGUGUGUGAAGAAGGCCUGCGGGUUGUAAAGCACUUUCGGUUGGGAGGACUGCUUCUAGCACUAAUAUUGUUGGAAGUUGACGUUACCUCCAGAAGAAGCACCGGCUAACUCCGUGCCAGCAGCCGCGGUAAUACGGAGGGUGCAAGCGCUAAUCGGGAUUACUGGGCGUAAAGCGCGCGUAGGCGGCUAGAUCAGUCGGGUGUGAAAGCCCCGGGCUUAACCUGGGAACUGCAUCCGAUACUGUCUAGCUUGAGUACAGGAGAGGAGAGUGGAAUUCCACAUGUAGCGGUGAAAUGCGUAGAUAUGUGGAGGAACACCAAUGGCGAAGGCAGCUCUCUGGCCUGAUACUGACGCUGAGGUGCGAAAGCGUGGGGAGCAAACAGGAUUAGAUACCCGCGUAGUC